UGGGGAAUAUUGCACAAUGGGCGAAAGCCUGAUGCAGCAACGCCGCGUGAGCGAUGAAGGCCUUCGGGUCGUAAAGCUCUGUCCUAUGGGAAGAUAAUGACGGUACCAUAGGAGGAAGCCCCGGCUAACUACGUGCCAGCAGCCGCGGUAAUACGUAGGGGGCAAGCGUUAUCCGGAAUUACUGGGCGUAAAGGGUGCGUAGGCGGUUUAUCAAGUCAGGGGUGAAAGGCUACGGCUCAACCGUAGUAAGCCUCUGAAACUGGUGAACUUGAGUGUAGGAGAGGAAAGUGGAAUUCCCAGUGUAGCGGUGAAAUGCGUAGAUAUUGGGAGGAACACCAGUGGCGAAGGCGACUUUCUGGACUAUAACUGACGCUGAGGCACGAAAGCGUGGGGAGCAAAC
Molecule: ribosomal RNA, 400 nt
Filed under: uncultured bacterium
Lineage: Bacteria
Description: bacterial SSU rRNA
Rfam family: Bacterial small subunit ribosomal RNA
Source: RNAcentral